UCGCCCUACUUAAAUCUAACGCGCUCGAGAAUAUCUGAUGAUUAUUUUUUUUACAAAUAUGAUGCUUUAUCCUUGACGGGCGGCCAUAUAUUUGGCGGAGGUACUUCACUGGGUACAAGAUAGCCUCCUGUAUAUUAAUCUGCCGCGUUGUAGUACUCUCGAAAUCGGUAUAUAAACAACAAGGCUAAACGGGUAGAUUCAGACCAGAACAUCUAGAAAAAUUAUUUACGGAGGCGUUAAUAACAUUAAUAAAAUCUAUUACAUAAGGAAAAGAAAAAAAUAGCAAAAUACCCAAAAAUCAUGAGUGUCUCUGGCUGAUCACCAACUUGUCAGUAAUCAAAAAUGAUCAAGAGAGGCAAGCAAGGGGGCAAAGCAACGGACAAUACUUACGAGCACACUCCGUACAUGCAUCAAGCGCUGCAUGAAGACGUCCGCGUGGUGCUUCCUCACGUGUCGAAGUAAAUGCUCACCCCUGACGUACGCCCUCGCGUUCACGCAGUACAUGCAGCGACGGGGACGGUCCAGAGCGUGCGUCGGCACGUGGCGACGCAUGUUGAUUUCCUUCUCAAAGGGUUUGCCGCACACCUCGCACUUGAACGCUAAAGACAAAAUUACAGUUUGUGCUUUUUAAUUAUAUAAUAAUGUUAGACUAAUAAAAGCCGACCGAAU
This is a long non-coding RNA of Pieris brassicae (large cabbage white), 669 nucleotides long. RefSeq lists it as uncharacterized. NCBI's taxonomy places the organism in Eukaryota, Metazoa, Arthropoda, Insecta, Lepidoptera, Pieridae. The transcript has 2 exons. The record is from RefSeq and is a predicted model, not a curated record.